RNAcentral lists this unclassified non-coding RNA (520 nucleotides) under uncultured Glomus. RNAcentral's name for it is "SSU rRNA". It matches the Rfam family "Eukaryotic small subunit ribosomal RNA", at positions 569 to 1091 of the family's 1831-position model. Lineage: Eukaryota; Fungi; Glomeromycota; Glomeromycetes; Glomerales; Glomeraceae. The record is from RNAcentral.
AGCAGCCGCGGUAAUUCCAGCUCCAAUAGCGUAUAUUAAAGUUGUUGCAGUUAAAAAGCUCGUAGUUGAAUUUCGGGAUCAAUUAAUUGGUCGUGCCUCUGGUACGUACUGAUUUUAUUGGUUUCUCCCUUCUGACGAACCAUGAUGUCAUUAAUUUGGUGUCGUGGAGAAUCAGGACUGUUACUUUGAAAAAUUAGAGUGUUUAAAGCAAGCUAACGCUUGAAUACAUUAGCAUGGAAUAAUGAAAUAGGACGUUUGAUCCUAUUUUGUUGGUUUCUAGGAUCGACGUAAUGAUUAAUAGGGAUAGUUGGGGGCAUUAGUAUUCAAUUGUCAGAGGUGAAAUUCUUGGAUUUAUUGAAGACUAACUACUGCGAAAGCAUUUGCCAAGGAUGUUUUCAUUAAUCAAGAACGAAAGUUAGGGGAUCGAAGACGAUCAGAUACCGUCGUAGUCUUAACCAUAAACUAUGCCGACUAGGGAUCGGAUGAUGUUAAUUUUUAAUGUACUCAUUCGGCGCCUUAA